GUGGGGAAUAUUGGACAAUGGGCGAAAGCCUGAUCCAGCCAUGCCGCGUGUGUGAAGAAGGUCUUCGGAUUGUAAAGCACUUUAAGUUGGGAGGAAGGGCAGUAAGUUAAUACCUUGCUGUUUUGACGUUACCAACAGAAUAAGCACCGGCUAACUUCGUGCCAGCAGCCGCGGUAAUACGAAGGGUGCAAGCGUUAAUCGGAAUUACUGGGCGUAAAGCGCGCGUAGGUGGUUCAGCAAGUUGAAGGUGAAAUCCCCGGGCUCAACCUGGGAACUGCCUCCAAAACUGCAUGACUAGAGUACGGUAGAGGGUAGUGGAAUUUCCUGUGUAGCGGUGAAAUGCGUAGAUAUAGGAAGGAACACCAGUGGCGAAGGCGACUACCUGGACUGAUACUGACACUGAGGUGCGAAAGCGUGGGGAGCAAACAGGAUUAGAAACCCCGGUAGUCC
This 450-nucleotide ribosomal RNA is filed under the name uncultured bacterium. RNAcentral's name for it is "partial 16S ribosomal RNA". It matches the Rfam family "Bacterial small subunit ribosomal RNA", at positions 354 to 796 of the family's 1533-position model. The record is from RNAcentral.